UGGAUGUUCUGGGCACUGCACUUGGGACUUGGGCUCUUUUGCCUGUCUCAGUGUGCCCAUGGCCCCAGCUGCAUGUAUAUGUGUGUGUGUGUGUGUGUGUGUGUAUGGCAGUUCCAGAUGGUGCCUGAGCCAUCAGUCAUGCUACCCAUCCUGCAUGCUAUACCACCAGCACACUGUCCUUUUUCCUUUUGUUCAGGCCUGGGCCACAGUCUGACUCCUUGAAACUGUCAUCUUCAAAUCAUGACCUCAAACAGGCAUUGUGCGACCAGUGAGUGCCAGCUGUGUACCCAAGACUGGGCCAGCAUCUGGACAGUGACCCACAGCAUGGACCAGGCCACCAGCACUGGCUAAUAGGAUGUCUCAUAGCAUGGCUUGCUCUCACCUACUUCACAGGGGAUUGGACUGCAUCUUCUGACUCCACUGCGCACCAGGUACCAGGUUAUGUACGUGGUACAUGGAGACAUACAGGUGGACAAAUACCUGUACAUACAAAAUAAACUUCCGAAAGAAUGAAACAAAGAAAGGAAGGAAAACAGACAGACAACUCCACCCUUGCUCACAGGGAUGUCCACUGUGGCCUUAUUUACAAAUAGAAAAACCACAGUAUAACCCAGUGUAAGAGAGCAAAUUUGUGUUCUGGUGCCCAAGAAAAAUCCAGUUCUUUCCAUUACCCUAAAUGCACAGCGAAUGACCACACGGGGGCGUGAAAGAGCUACAUAAAACAAGAAAGACUUUGGCUGAGCAAGUGUUUAAACUGGUUUCUGAAUGUUGGGUAGAAUAGCCUGUCCGAAAGCCUAUAGACCCAAGUUCAAAUCUUGGGAUCUACACGGCGGGAAAAGAGAACAGACUCUAACCUUCGUAGGUGCUCGGGCUCUCUAAUUAUGUACACACAAAAUAAAUUUAAGAAUAAAUUUAAAACAUA
Long non-coding RNA from Mastomys coucha (southern multimammate mouse), 922 nucleotides. RefSeq lists it as uncharacterized. The transcript is spliced from 2 exons. The record is from RefSeq and is a predicted model, not a curated record. NCBI's taxonomy places the organism in Eukaryota, Metazoa, Chordata, Mammalia, Rodentia, Muridae.